This is a long non-coding RNA of Mytilus californianus (California mussel), 456 nucleotides long. RefSeq lists it as uncharacterized. The transcript has 3 exons. Lineage: Eukaryota; Metazoa; Mollusca; Bivalvia; Mytilida; Mytilidae. The record is from RefSeq and is a predicted model, not a curated record.
AAAAGACAAUAAUUCAGUUCACUGAUUUAGAUUGAAUAGUGGUUCGGUUAAUUCUCCUUUUCCCCAAACAAGGCAAGAACAUUAAAGAUAAAGGGAAACUAUAAACAAAAGAAAUUAUCAACAAAAAUAGAUUUACAGACAUCAACAAAGCCUAAAUGGUCAGACAUCUUGGUUUUCAGGAUCAUCAUUCAACAGGUCAAUACUGAACAGAAAACUUAAAGUUGAUAUUUUUCUACAUAGUGUGACUUUUUUAUUAAUUUGAAAUGGAAUGUGUUUUUUUCCUACAUAAGAAAGAGGAAAUUUCAACAUAAUGACUAUAAACAAAAAGGAGUCAUAUUAUCAGGAUCAUAGAUGCACAAGAACUAAAUCAUGUAAAUGCAACAACGUAAUUAUCAAUUGAAAGAAGGGAGGAAUGAAAAAAUAUAUUAGUAUUUUGUUGUCCAAAUGAACUUGCUU